Molecule: long non-coding RNA, 238 nt
Filed under: Hordeum vulgare
Lineage: Eukaryota; Viridiplantae; Streptophyta; Magnoliopsida; Poales; Poaceae
Description: long non-coding RNA (HVUL_LNC001141)
Source: RNAcentral
GCUCAUUGCCUCCUCGUCCCGAGUUAUCCGAGGACGUCCCACGCUCGAACUCUUCUUCCUCGCGCACACGGGAGAGGAGCUCCCAAUCCUUGCACACAAGGGGACCUUGGCGUCGUUCCUCCAACGCGCCUCCACGGAGUCAGCCACUGGCGAUCCCAACAGCCCCGACCCGUUCCAUGGCCUCCGUUGACCAAGCCUAAGCUCUCCAUUCGACCCCACCAUGGACAGUGCCUCUAGG